Molecule: long non-coding RNA, 554 nt
Organism: Scophthalmus maximus (turbot)
Lineage: Eukaryota; Metazoa; Chordata; Actinopteri; Pleuronectiformes; Scophthalmidae
Exons: 3
Source: RefSeq, a predicted model, not a curated record
CAAGCACGAGCAUGUGUGCGAGGCACCGGGAUCAGCGCACCAGUCAACCGAUGUGUCAUCCGCACAGAGAGGGAUAGAAAACAAUUUAAACCCAAAGCAAGAGAAAAAGGAGAAGUGGUGUCGGCUCGCCACGUAGGACUAAGGUUACGCGCGAUGACUGACUGAAACAUGGCCCAUGCUUUUGACUGUGACAACUCAUUUGGACAUUUUCUAUUGUUCCACUUCGAGACCGUUGGCGCUGUCAAGGCAAAGCAAUGCGGGAGGAGAAGUCUUGCCGGGAGUUGUCGGACACUUGCCAGCCUAUGUUUGGUAGCAGCCAGUGUGAUGUGUUGCUGCACGAAUUCCCGACUGCAUACUGGGAUUAGAAACUUCUUCGGAGAGUCUUGGCAUGAAGCAAAGGUCACCGACAUACACCGAAUUCUCCUCUCGGAAUGAGUCAAUCCAUUUAUCAGGAACUCAGACAGGCUUCUUGUGAGGGACGCAGCACCGUGACCUCUGCAUUACCGCGGAGCGCUCUCCUCCUCAGACUCCCAGCACAUGAUGCAGAACCCGGG